AUUGAACGCUGGCGGCAGGCCUAACACAUGCAAGUCGAGCGGCAGCGGAAAGUAGCUUGCUACUUUGCCGGCGAGCGGCGGACGGGUGAGUAAUGUCUGGGAAACUGCCUGAUGGAGGGGGAUAACUACUGGAAACGGUAGCUAAUACCGCAUAACGUCGCAAGACCAAAGAGGGGGACCUUCGGGCCUCUUGCCAUCAGAUCUGCCCAGAUGGGAUUAGCUGGCAGGUAGGGUAAUGGCCUACCUGGGCGGCGAUCCCUAGCUGGUCUGAGGGGAUGACCAGCCACACUGGAACUGAGACACGGGCCAGACUCCUACGGGAGGCAGCAGUGGGGAAUAUUGCACAAUGGGCGCAAGCCUGAUGCAGCCAUGCCGCGUGUGUGAAGAAGGCCUUCGGGUUGUAAAGCACUUUCAGCGAGGAGGAAGGCAGUAAGGUUAAUAACCUUGCUGAUUGACGUUACUCGCAGAAGAAGCACCGGCUAACUCCGUGCCAGCAGCCGCAGUAA
This 506-nucleotide ribosomal RNA is filed under the name uncultured bacterium. RNAcentral's name for it is "partial 16S ribosomal RNA". It matches the Rfam family "Bacterial small subunit ribosomal RNA", at positions 30 to 523 of the family's 1533-position model. The record is from RNAcentral.